UGGGGAAUUUUGGACAAUGGGGGAAACCCUGAUCCAGCCAUCCCGCGUGUGCGAUGAAGGCCUUCGGGUUGUAAAGCACUUUUGGCAGGAAAGAAACGUCGCGGGUUAAUACCCCGCGAAACUGACGGUACCUGCAGAAUAAGCACCGGCUAACUACGUGCCAGCAGCCGCGGUAAUACGUAGGGUGCAAGCGUUAAUCGGAAUUACUGGGCGUAAAGCGUGCGCAGGCGGUUCGGAAAGAAAGAUGUGAAAUCCCAGAGCUUAACUUUGGAACUGCAUUUUUAACUACCGGGCUAGAGUGUGUCAGAGGGAGGUGGAAUUCCGCGUGUAGCAGUGAAAUGCGUAGNUAUGCGGAGGAACACCGAUGGCGAAGGCAGCCUCCUGGGAUAACACUGACGCUCAUGCACGAAAGCGUGGGGAGCAAACAGGAUUAGAUACCCUGGUAGUCCACGCCCUAAACGAUGUCAGCUAGCUGUUGGGGCCUUCGGGCCUUGGUAGCGCAGCUAACGCGUGAAGUUACCGCCUGGGGAGUACGGUCGCAAGAUUAAAACUCAAAGAA
This 559-nucleotide ribosomal RNA is filed under the name uncultured bacterium. Its description in RNAcentral is "partial 16S ribosomal RNA". It matches the Rfam family "Bacterial small subunit ribosomal RNA", at positions 355 to 908 of the family's 1533-position model. The record is from RNAcentral.